GACGAACGCUGGCGGCGUGCUUAACACAUGCAAGUCGAACGGAAAGGCCCUGCUUUUGUGGGGUGCUCGAGUGGCGAACGGGUGAGUAACACGUGGGUAACCUGCCCUUGACUUUGGGAUAACUUCAGGAAACUGGGGCUAAUACCGGAUAGGAGCUCCUGCUGCAUGGUGGGGGUUGGAAAGUUUCGGCGGUUGGGGAUGGACUCGCGGCUUAUCAGCUUGUUGGUGGGGUAGUGGCUUACCAAGGCUUUGACGGGUAGCCGGCCUGAGAGGGUGACCGGCCACAUUGGGACUGAGAUACGGCCCAGACUCCUACGGGAGGCAGCAGUGGGGAAUAUUGCACAAUGGGCGGAAGCCUGAUACAGCAACGCCGCGUGCGGGAUGACGGCCUUCGGGUUGUAAACCGCUUUCGCCUGUGACGAAGCGUGAGUGACGGUAAUGGGUAAAGAAGCACCGGCUAACUACGUG
Molecule: ribosomal RNA, 468 nt
Filed under: uncultured bacterium
Lineage: Bacteria
Description: partial 16S ribosomal RNA
Rfam family: Bacterial small subunit ribosomal RNA
Source: RNAcentral